This 484-nucleotide ribosomal RNA is filed under the name uncultured bacterium. RNAcentral's name for it is "bacterial SSU rRNA". It matches the Rfam family "Bacterial small subunit ribosomal RNA", at positions 28 to 508 of the family's 1533-position model. The record is from RNAcentral.
GAUGAACGCUAGCGGCAGGCUUAACACAUGCAAGUCGAGGGGUAUAGGUUUUCGGACCUAGAGACCGGCGCACGGGUGCGUAACGCGUAUGCAAUCUACCUUUUACAGAGGGAUAGCCCAGAGAAAUUUGGAUUAAUACCUCAUAGUAUUAUUGAAUGGCAUCAUUUAAUAAUUAAAGUCACAACGGUAAAAGAUGAGCAUGCGUCCCAUUAGCUUGUUGGUAAGGUAACGCCUUACCAAGGCAACGAUGGGUAGGGGUCCUGAGAGGGAGAUCCCCCACACUGGUACUGAGACACGGUCCAGACUCCUACGGGAGGCAGCAGUGGGGAAUUGUUCACAAUGGGCGCAAGCCUGAUGACGCAACGCCGCGUGGGGGAUGAAGGUCUUCGGAUUGUAAACCCCUGUCGAAUGGGACGAAAGACUCGGGAGCUAAUCAUCUCGAGAGUGACGGUACCGUUAAAGGAAGCCACGGCUAACUCUGUGC